CACCAGAGGCAGAGGAACUGAACUACAACAGCAAAUGAACUAAGCGGUAUACCAUAUUUUAUGAUAUACCGGUAUUGAUGCAGGGACCGACCUAGCCACGCCCCCUGUCACUCAAGGAGCGCAUUUCAUGUUCCUCAACCACGAGACACUUGCGUUCAGUCUGCCUGGUCAAUGAAGCACAUGUAACAAUGUUGAUAACGAUGCUUUUUUCACUUUGCUUAUUAAUAUAAAUCCACUAGCGUUCUAUAA
Molecule: long non-coding RNA, 249 nt
Organism: Salvelinus fontinalis (brook trout)
Lineage: Eukaryota; Metazoa; Chordata; Actinopteri; Salmoniformes; Salmonidae
Exons: 2
Source: RefSeq, a predicted model, not a curated record